Molecule: long non-coding RNA, 1067 nt
Filed under: Nicotiana benthamiana
Lineage: Eukaryota; Viridiplantae; Streptophyta; Magnoliopsida; Solanales; Solanaceae
Description: long non-coding RNA (NBEN_LNC023826)
Source: RNAcentral
CAUAAGUGGCUCCCACCAAAUUGGGGAUACUGAAAUGAUAGCCAUAGCAAGAGAAUGCCCUGAACUUAGUUACUUGGAUGUGAGGGUUCUCCGGGUAUGUCCACUUAUACUUGUUCUAUAGAGUGGGAUAAACAAUGGAUAUAAUGCAAAGACUGUGCGUGUAUGUUUAACAUGUUUACGUACAAUUAUCUACUAUAUAAAUUGAUUAGCAUUUCUAAAUUACAUGAUACUUCGGUAUUUUCAUGCUGCAAUCUGUUGGGGUAGACACUAUAAUCUUGGUUGCAGCUCACUAUGAAGAUGAAAAUUCUUGUGAUUUGAAUUGCCUAGAACUUCAUGUUAUUGGUCAUUUGAGAUUUUGUUGUAUAUGCAAACUGGGACUUUGUCGGGAUAAAAGGAAUCAGUUGGGGAUGGGCAUAAUCAUUUCUAUGGAGACUCUUGUCACUUAUUUUCCUCUUGAUAUUCUUAAUUUUAUCAUCUCUUAAUAGGCCUGCCUUCACAACUACCAAGCAUUAGAGAAGUUGACAGCCAUCGGUGCAGUUGCCAGGUAAAAUAUGUAAUAAGAGAAUUAUUCGGAGCAAAAGAAUAUAAACCCCUUACUCCCACCAAAAUAAGAAAGAAAUGUGUUAUAUUUUGACAAAACUUCUGAUAAAAUGUUAUUGUAACAAGGAUCAUCUUACAAGGCUGUGCGUGUAUCACGCCCUUACCGGCCAACAACAGUACGCUAUCGAACUAUAAAGAAGUAAUUUGAGUAAUAAUCAACGUCUUUUUGCUGCUGAAAUUCCGUCUCCACUUCACCUCGACAAACAAUGAUCGCCAUAUGGUGUCAAAUCUUGUGUUGACGGACAAGCGCUGGAGUAAGAUAUUAGAGAGAAAAAUACAAAAUGGGAUCUUUAAGUGCAGAAGUAGUACAACUGAAGAAUGUGGUUAUAUCCAAGGAUAAUGAGUGUUCAUCCUUCUGAAAGAUGGAGUCAUUCUUCUUGUUACUCUAAUGACUGUAUUCUCCUACUGCAAAGUGGAUGUUAUGGAUUGAAAAACUCAAAGUUAGUUACUUUCAUCCUUCUGAAGAU